AAGUCGUAACAAGGUUUCCGUAGGUGAACCUGCGGAAGGAUCAUUAUCACGUAUCCACGUAUCAACCAUUGUGAACCGUUCUUAACCUUUGUGGUGAGACCAAGAUAGUGUGCGUUUAAACAUUAAGCAGUUUUUGUGAUUAACUGUGUUUAGAUGCGCCAUGAUUAAGUGUUUUCGGACUCUUUCUCAUGCUUGCUCACUGCAAAGUGUAUUUUAAUCACUAUUUAUUAACCAUUUUAACCCAACCUUUAUAACUUUUUGAACUAACUUAUUUUAUACUCUUCGGAGAUAAAAUUCAUUACGAAACAAAGAACAACUCUUAGCAACGGAUAUCUUGGUUCUCGUAACGAUGAAGAACGCAG
This 362-nucleotide unclassified non-coding RNA is filed under the name fungal sp. Its description in RNAcentral is "partial internal transcribed spacer region". The stretch from base 1 to 46 matches the Rfam family "Eukaryotic small subunit ribosomal RNA", at positions 1786 to 1831 of the family's 1831-position model. Lineage: Eukaryota; Fungi. The record is from RNAcentral.